This 7887-nucleotide long non-coding RNA is filed under the name Triticum aestivum (bread wheat). RNAcentral's name for it is "long non-coding RNA (TAES_LNC007498)". The record is from RNAcentral. Lineage: Eukaryota; Viridiplantae; Streptophyta; Magnoliopsida; Poales; Poaceae.
UUUUUUUUCUCUGUUGUUUCUUAUUCCUUUUCCUUAAAUUCGAAAUUUGUAAAAACAUGUUCAAAUCUUAAAAAAAUGUUUGGGAAUCCAUUUUUUUGUUCAUGCUUUUUAAAAGACGAUAGAUUAUGGUAUCAGCCUGAGGGGAUUCUUCGGCCUUGAUUGUAAACUUUCUUCUUUAUUGGUGUUCAUAUAUGCAAAGGCUAGGGUUCUACUCUCUUUUUAUUCUUUUUAUUUUAUUUUCUUAGGGUCUUUCGUCCCUUUUUGCCUUUCUUUUUGUUUCUUUGUCGGUUUUUUGUUUUUCUAACACAUGUCUACCUUUUUUUGUCUCACACGAUGUACAUUCUUAGAGUACACUUGAAACAUUUUUACGAUUCAUGUUCAAUAUUGUCUAAAUUCAUGAUGUACAUUCAAAAAAAAAAUGUUCGGGACACUUUUUCGGAUACAUGGCAACUUUUUUUCGAAAUACACAAUGUACAUUUUCAAUGUAAACCUUUUUCUAAACCACACAAGCAUUUGUUUUGCAUUGUAUAAAUAUUUUUUGAAAAACAUUUGUGGACACGUUUUGAAACAUGUAAUUGUUUCUUUACAAUUUCAGGUGCAUUUUUUGAAUGGGAGUAAACAUUUUAAACCUACGGUGUUACUUUUGAAAAUUGUUUCUAACAUUUUUUGAUGUCCUGAAUAAUUUUUCAAACACGGGAAUCUUUCCAUAAAGUGUGACGUACGUUUUUUAAUGGUAUUUUUUUUUGGAUUACACAUAAAAAUAACUACACUGUAUAUAAAUUUUUAGAAAUUUUGCAUGCAUUUUUUAAAACACUAAAACAUUUUUUGAAAAGUUAUCAACAUUUUAUUAGAGUUGCGCUAACAAUUUUUUUAUUAGGUUAACCUUUUUUUCAAAUACCUUGUUUUAAUUUUUCUUAAGUAAAUUUAAUGUCUUUGAACUAUAUGAUUUUAAAAUAUAAAUAAAGGGAAAAGAGAAAAAGAGAAAAAUGAGUGACAUCAGCCUGAUGAGCCACACCUAUUGGGCCGGCCCACCACCUGGCUUAUAGGUUAGGCAACAAUGUGACUUAAGCGGUACAUAGCCGCUUUACACAAAAUGUCUAGAAAACCAUAGAGGGUUAGAGCUUCUCACACCGGCACCCAGAUGGAUCCCAUCAUGAUCGUGGGAGGAGAAAUGUAUUGCAUCUUGUGAGAACGAAGAAGGUCUCGGACCUCUUAUUGGACGCUCAUUGCAUCCCGUGACGCAUGUGACGCACAUGGGUCAGCGACAACCGCCCAUUAGUAGCACCGAAGCGAUUUGUGUUUAUAGCGUAAAAAAUGCCAAACAUCAAGGCUACCGCGAGGAAUCAAACUCGCGAUGUCCCACUCCUCUAUGUGUGUUGCUAGAAACUAGAGCUAAUGGUUGUUGUUUACUGAUGGCAAUGCGGUUGUUUUAAAGUACUGCACUAUACCAUAGCAUAUAUAUAUAACAUCUUUUUUUGCGGGGAAUAUAGUUACAAUAUUUUAAAAAAUGUGAACACACUUUUUUAAUUUCAAAACAUUUUUUGAAAAGUUGUCAACAUUUUGUUAAAGUAGCGCUAACAUUUUUUUUGUACUAGGUUAACAUUUUUUCAAAUACCUUGUUUUAAUUUUUCUUAAGUAAACUUAAUGUCUUUGAACUAUAUGCAUUUAAAAUAUAAAUAAAGGGAAAAGAGAAAAAUAGAAAAUUGAGUGACAUCAGCCUGACAAGCCACACCUAUUGGGCCGGGCCGAGAACGUAUCCUGUGAAACGCCCAGAUUGGUGCAUCAAUGCACCACUAGAUUCUGGGCCACUCGAUCGAGAAUUAAUGGAUUAGAUGCAUUAGAAGAUGGGCUGUUAGUACAUUUUACAUCUUGCACCUCAUACAGUUAAUCAUUUGCAUGAAUCCUAUGGUCUCCUUCCUUUGCCUGUCUCGUGUACCUCUCUCUGUUCUCUGUACCAGGCCCUCGAGCUGCGUUGACUCUCUCUCUCCCCUUCUCCUGGACCUUCUCGCCCUUCUAUGAUCUAUCGUACCUAGUUCCGACGUCUUUAGAGGACUAGCGCCCCUCCUCUCCUCUGAGUCGCUCCCAGCGAAGAAGCCAUUGCGCCCGCGAGCGCGUACAUGUAGCGCCUUUGUGUUGUAGCUCCGGGGACGACGACGAAACUACCCAAAGGAGACGGCUAUCUUCUGCGCCUCGAGGAUCUGUGUAUGUUCACAUCAUCUGAAAAUUUGCAAGAUAAGUGAGAACAUGCUCAUCAGAAAUUCUUGCUCUGUACUUUAGCAAGUUCAUCUGAAAUUCUUGCACUGUGCUGUAGCAAGUGAGAGAAGACUCAAACAAGAUUUAUUUCUGACUACAUAUGCAGAGUUUUUCAGCUGUAUAAAUACAACUGAUAUCCAACCUGAGAAAUUGUUCUUCUCCAGGAGCAACUCACUAGGCGGUUUAAGUCGAGACUGUUUAUCUUCAUGAUGCAUAGAUUUAGGUCCCUUUUUCGAUGGAACUUGAUGCCCAAACAGAGUGUAUAAUUUCAAAUAAAGUUCACACGUACUACUUUUAAUCACAUUAGUAUGGAUUCUUAGAAUCAUUGCCCAAAUUGUUUCGCCUCAAACUGAGCUCUUCUUCUUUGAUUUCUGUUAUACGCACACCAAAUGCACCAGAAUCACAUACGGAAAUUUCAUCAUUAUCCAAUAAUAAAACAUGUGAUUGAAGAUCUGAAUAGAGAAAGAACCUCAGCUUGUUAACCAUUUGUGGCGUCGCCAAAUCGUAGCAAGCUACGCGCCGGCGGCGACAAUCUUUAGACAGGGCCAUCAUUGAGAGGGAUAUACUCCCUCCGUCCCAAAAUAACUGUCUCAAGCUUAGUACAAAUUUAUACUAGAACUAAUACAAAGUUGAGACACUUAUUUUGAGACGGAGGGAGUAGAUGGUUGCGAGAGAUAGAGGGAAGAGGGACCGCCCUAGUGUCUGGUUUAAUGGUUUUUAGUGGUUACACACAUCUGGAUCUGAGUUGGGCGGAAGAGAGCUCGCAGCGCCAUGGAUCGCCUGGUACAGAGAGAGGGGAUCCCGCAGGUAGAGGUACAGGAGAGAAGGGGAGGAGACGACAGGAUUGGAAGGACAAUUCACGCAAAUGAUUAAGGUUAACUAUACGAGAUGCAAGAUGUAAAAUGUAUGAGCAGCACAUCUUCUGAUACAUGUACUCCAAUAAUUCUUCAUCGAGUGGCCCAGUAUCUACUGGUGCAUUUGGUGCACCAGUUUGGGCGUUUCACAGGAUACGUUCUGGGGCCGGCCCACCACCUGGCUUAUAGGUGAGGCAACGGUGUGAUUUAAGCGGUACAUAGCCGCUUUACACAAAAUGUCUAGAAAACCAUAGAGGGUUAGAGCUUCUCACACUGGCACCCAAAUGGAUCCCAUCAUGAUUGUGGGAGGAGAAAUGUCUCGCAUCUUGUGAGAACGAAAAGGUCUCGGGCCUCUUAUUGGACGCUCAAUGCAUCCAGUGACGCACAUGGGUCAGCGACAACCGCCCACUAGCAGGCACCAAAGCGAUUGUGUUUAUAGCGUAAAAAUGCCAAACAUCAAGGCUACUGCAAGGAAUCGAACUCGCGAUGUCCCACUCCUCUACAUGUUUUUUGUGGAGAAUAUAGUAACAAUAUCUUAAAAAAUGUGAACAAAUUUUCCAAUUCCAGAACAUUUUUUGGACAUCAUGAGCAAAAUUUAGAAUUUUAAAAAAGGAAAAAAUGAAGAUUUUUAUAAAAACGAUAAUAAAAUUUCCAAACGCGUUUUUAUAAUUCCAAAUUAUUUUUAAUAUUUGGAACAAAAUUUGGAAACUGAUUUUGUUUUGGAAAAAAGUUGGAUAAGUUUGAAUCCCGAAAGUUUUUUAAAAGAGUGAACAAAAAUUGAAAUUCCAAACAGAUUUUUUCAUUUCAUAUAAUUUUUGAAGAUUUGAACUUUUUGGAAAAGUUACAAUUUUAUAUAUUCCAAACAUUUGUUUGAAAUGUGAACAAAAUUUGAAAUUCCGGAACAUUUUCUGAAAGCAUUGAAUACUUUUUAUUUAGAAGAUUUGAUCAUUUUUUUUUUGAAAAUUGCAAGUUAUAAAAAGAAAAAAAGGGGGAAAUAAAAAAGAACAAAAAAACCUAUAAAAAAGGCUAGAAUCUUCUAGAAGGUACCCGAAACCGGAACAAGAAAGCUUCAUGUAUAGCUAAAAAUGACCCAGCCCAAUUGGCUCGAUGUCGACGAUUGCAUGCGUGUUUUGACCACAGUUUUGCGGCCACAUGUGGCAAAUAGGAAGUCCCGAAGGUCUCGCUUGUUGCUACUAGUGGGCCAGCCUAAAUAUCUAUCUUAAUGUUCGUUUGUUUUCUCUUAUUUGCUUCUUCGUUUGUUUUCUAAAUGCAUAUAUUUUAAAAUUAUUAUUUUUAAAAUGUCACCGUCGUGAAGACCGUUCUGAAUGUUACUCUCCUCAAAUGUUAUCACUCCGGAGGAACUCGCAGAACGCAUGAGAAGUUUAUGUUCCACACGAAGUUCUGUUGCAAGUAAGAACCAUGUGUGUUGAGCUCUAACAUGUCUCACUACUAUGUCAUGUCCCUCAUUGCCCACUUUGUGUGCACGAAAUCACUAUUGAAGGAUCAUGCAUCAUUGGCCAUGUGGGCCAGAAAGGGGAACAAAACUUCUAUAGAGAAUGUAUGUGCCUUCAGAACGUGAUGGCAAUCAUCAACAAGGAUGUCGUAAGGUCAGGCGGAAUGUUCUAUAGCCCUAGAGAUACGAAAGAAGAACACGAUCGAAUAAAAGAAUCAACUAAAGCAUAUGCAUAAAUGCAGUUCAACAUAUCCGGGACGGCGCCUGGAUUUGGAGUUCAUCCCGAGAAAGAAGAUAGAAAGACAUGUGAUUAGUUGAGUUGCGAUGUUGAUGUAUAAUUUGAUGCAUGCAUGUGUUGCAUUUUUAUAUAUGGGUGCAUGUUAAUUUGAAUAUAGAUGCAUCAAUUUAUGAAUGUAUUAAUGUGAUGUCAUGCACAAAAUGCUAUUGUGGCAAAAAGGGAUGUCGUAGUAGAAAUAAAACGCUAGCUGUCACAACACAGAAAAGUUUGCCAGUGGCGUUCGAAAAUCCGAUGCCAGUGUAGUACACUGCACUGGUGAUAGUCGAGAAUGUUCAAUGUACUAGUGGCGGCAUCAUCGAUAUUAAUGGCGUGGAAAGAGUACAACAUUGUUGACCACAUAUCAGUGGUGUCAGUUAGUGAUGUGCGCUAAGUGCUUUACUAAUGACAACUUUCAAACGCCGUUAAUAGGAUUUUAUUCACUAGUGCGUCUCUCUAAUAGCCCACAUGUAAACAUUCUCUGGUAAUUCUCCUAAAAUAACAUUCUCCACUAAUAAAGUGAGCUGAAUGCACCUAAAAGAAAAUGACGAUGUGGUUGACGAGACCGCUCUUUAAUUGUUUAGAAUUAUCGUUCGUGCCGGCCAGUGUCUAAAUCGAUGAUGGAUGGUCCUUCCUCUAUCCUGCUAUGCAUUGUCCAGAUCGAUGGUGAAUGGAUCUGAAAGCUGCACGUCAUGCUUGAUGUUGAGAAGUACAAAAUCACUUUGGACCCCCUCUGCCCUAUCCUCUACACCGGAUCCCUUGCAGUUCCUAAGACCCGCAUCGCUGCACCGAGUGGACCAACAUGUCGAGGAUACUAAUUUUUUUAGGGGUAGUACAGCACGCUACUAAACGCGAGUCUUCAACCCCCGGGCAAUCCUCAGACACGGCUUAAAAUUUGAAUGAGUUUUCUCGAAAUUUCAACAAUUUAAAGGUUAGUGAAAAUAGUUGUUUUUGUUCAAAACAUGUUGGUACGCUGGAUUUGUAUGAUAAUAUAAAGUCUUGGGACCGUUCACGACAACAUCACCUUGCAUAGCACAUUGGCAGGUUAUCUUACUUUUGCUCUCUAUAGUUCUACAUUAGGACAAAGUAAAAAAAAAACCAGUUCACUAAAUUCGAAAAUUUCCAAAUUUACAAACAAACGUUGUUGCUUCAUCCGACACAAGUUUUGUACUUAUUACCGUGUUUUGGUCAUUUCAAGGAUAGGUUACAUUUUAUCUAGUUGUUUAGACUAAAAAAAUUCACACAACAUACUAGUUGAUUUGUUCCGAAAUGAUUUUCACAACUAACAAAAUGUUAGUCAUUUCGAGGGUUGACAAAAUUCUGGUUUUGAAAUCUUAAACCUUGUUCAGAUGCUAGGCCACAUGCAAUCCGAGCCUAGCUGCUCCGAGAAGGAAAGCUCCUACUCAUGUAGUCUUAUUUAUUUUAUGAUGAAAAGGCGGCAUGUGCCUUCUGAACUUCAUGAAAUGAGGGUUAUUUUAUAGGGUGGCGCGGGUUGAAGCAAAAAAUAACAAGAGAAAAAAAAUACUAUAGUGUUGUCGCCAUAAGAACUUUCAGGUCGUCAUCUUAAGGUUUAGGUAGACAUACGUCCUCCCACGCUAAUUCCUCAUGAAUCAAGAGGACAACUUCAAGGGGUUGCAAAGUGGUGUUUGGAAGACUCGUAUUCCUUUCCUUCGACCCCUAUCCCUAGGUAUAGGUUGGUUUGCCGCUUGAAGGCCUCUUUUCCUCCUUUGGCAAGGGUGUGAUGUCCCUCCCAUCAGUUUGUCGAUGCUAAAUGGGCUUGCCAUCCCAAGGGGACUGGUGCCCACUUCAAAGGCAUAAUUUGUUCCAGACCUGCUUUGUGAAUGAACAAUCUCCGCAGAAGACUACCUUGAGUCUACACUCUAUAAUAAAGAUGCCAUAACCUCUACGUGUGUCUCCUGGCCAACUUCUCCGCCUCCUCUACUUCUAUCAACAGUGACUACCUUCCCCUCAAUGAAUCCCCACGCCAUAGGUGUCUUCAACUAGAAGGUCCACGGGCUUGCUUAACCUGUAGACACGUUUGUCUUUUGUUUGCGGGUUAGUAGGUAGUCAUAUAUACCAAGCAUCGAUGCACCUUAUGAUAUCCUUGUAGUGUAUCGGGACUCGGGUGUAGAAGAUAGUCUCCAGGCCUGAGGCAAAUUCAAAGAAAAACUAAUCCUUUGAAUCCAUGAGAGUUUUUCUCCAUUGUGAGAUAUAGGUAGUAUUUUGGAAAAGACCAGAGAAAAAACCAUGAGCUUCUACAUGUUGAUUACUUCCGAAACGACCAUAGGUAGGCCAAUGCUAUCCACGCGUUAGAGGUUCAGUAGUUGACAAAUAUGGUAGUUCAAAGUAAAUUUUUAUCAAAGUGACUCAGGCCAUCCUAGGCGUAAAUUUUUCUAGCAAACAAAGUGUCAUUUCUUUAGAAACACAGUACAAUACAAAUGCUCACAAGCACAUGCACACACUAGUAUAUAUGAACCAAAACCUACAUUCUAAUCAUAUGAGCAACUUUGAGAGACCGGACCAGCAAGGCUUAACAUUGACGAAGUCACCAUAUGCGUCUCAGAGAAAAAGUCGGCUCCCACUGAGCGCAUAUUGUCAAAAAGUCUGAAAAAAUUGGUAUUUGGUAGUUGCACAUUCUAGAAAUUAUGAACAAUAUGGUCGAAGUCUUAGAAACAACUAGGAGUCUACGAGUACUUCUCAAACUGACUGGGGAAUAACAAUCCUCAAUCUCAGUUUUUAUUUCUUGGGGCGGUCAACGGCCAAAUGCAGCAAACGCUUAUUCACAGCCAUGACUCACGCUCAACACCCCCCACAUAAAUAAAAAUAAAAAUAGCAAACACUCAACCCAACGCCGAUACAGUCACCACAGCUCGAACUCGCAACAAACCAUGCGCAGCGUGCAGCAUAUGCAGAUACCAAAAACGAAGGCCGCCUGAGCUGAGACCAGGCCUGCGUAGAUGAUGGAUCAGGGAUCAUUUCUUGAGGAAUCUGCCCAUCCAUUUGCUGGACUCCUUGGGGUAGCGCUUGAGCGUGUUGCGGUCGAUGUAGAUGAG